Molecule: Y RNA, 110 nt
Filed under: Propithecus coquereli (Coquerel's sifaka)
Lineage: Eukaryota; Metazoa; Chordata; Mammalia; Primates; Indriidae
Description: Y RNA (ENSPCOG00000007491.1)
Rfam family: Y RNA
About the family: Y RNAs are components of the Ro ribonucleoprotein particle (Ro RNP), in association with Ro60 and La proteins. The Y RNAs and Ro60 and La proteins are well conserved, but the function of the Ro RNP is not known.
Source: Rfam by way of RNAcentral
GGCUGGUGCACAAGCAGUGAGUUCUCUCAAUCGAUUGUCCAGUCAGUUACAGAUCGAACUCCUUGUUCAACUCUUUCCCCUUUCUCACCACUGCGCCUGACUAGUCCAAA